Molecule: ribosomal RNA, 1434 nt
Filed under: Enterococcus hirae
Lineage: Bacteria; Bacillati; Bacillota; Bacilli; Lactobacillales; Enterococcaceae
Description: partial 23S ribosomal RNA
Rfam family: Bacterial large subunit ribosomal RNA
Source: RNAcentral
GCUGUACGUAAGCUAUGAUCCAGAGAUUUCCGAAUGGGGGAACCCAGCAUCUUUUAUAGGAUGUUACGUUUGCGUGAAUACAUAGCGCAUUCGAGGUAGACGCAGAGAACUGAAACAUCUAAGUACCUGCAGGAAGAGAAAGAAAAUUCGAUUCCCUGAGUAGCGGCGAGCGAAACGGGAAAAGCCCAAACCAAUGAGCUUGCUCAUUGGGGUUGUAGGACUCCAAUAUGGUAGUUCUUUCAGAUAGUCGAAUGACUUGGAAAAGUCAGUCAAAGAGGGUAAAAACCCCGUAGAUGAAAUUUGGAAGGCACCUAGGAGGAUCCUGAGUACGGCGGAACACGAGGAAUUCCGUCGGAAUCCGGGAGGACCAUCUCCCAAGGCUAAAUACUCCCUAGUGACCGAUAGUGAACCAGUACCGUGAGGGAAAGGUGAAAAGCACCCCGGAAGGGGAGUGAAAUAGAACCUGAAACCGUGUGCCUACAACAAGUCAAAGCCCGUUAAUGGGUGAUGGCGUGCCUUUUGUAGAAUGAACCGGCGAGUUACGAUUGCAUGCGAGGUUAAGUUGAAGAGACGGAGCCGCAGCGAAAGCGAGUCUGAAUAGGGCGUUUGAGUAUGUAGUCGUAGACCCGAAACCAUGUGAUCUACCCAUGUCCAGGUUGAAGGUGCGGUAAAACGCACUGGAGGACCGAACCCACGUACGUUGAAAAGUGCGGGGAUGAGGUGUGGGUAGCGGAGAAAUUCCAAACGAACUUGGAGAUAGCUGGUUCUCUCCGAAAUAGCUUUAGGGCUAGCCUCGGAAUUGAGAAUGAUGGAGGUAGAGCACUGUUUGGACUAGGGGCCCAUCUCGGGUUACCGAAUUCAGAUAAACUCCGAAUGCCAUUCAUUCAUAUCCGGGAGUCAGACUGUGAGUGAUAAGAUCCAUAGUCGAAAGGGAAACAGCCCAGACCACCAGCUAAGGUCCCAAAAUAUAUGUUAAGUGGAAAAGGAUGUGGGGUUGCACAGACAACUAGGAUGUUGGCUUAGAAGCAGCCACCAUUUAAAGAGUGCGUAAUAGCUCACUAGUCGAGUGACCCUGCGCCGAAAAUGUACCGGGGCUAAACAUAUUACCGAAGCUGUGGAGUACACCUUUAGGUGUAUUGGUAGGAGAGCGUUCUAAGGGCGUUGAAGGUAGAUCGUGAGGACUGCUGGAGCGCUUAGAAGUGAGAAUGCCGGUAUGAGUAGCGAAAGACAGGUGAGAAUCCUGUCCACCGAAUGACUAAGGUUUCCUGGGGAAGGCUCGUCCGCCCAGGGUUAGUCGGGACCUAAGCCGAGGCCGACAGGCGUAGGCGAUGGACAACAGGUUGAUAUUCCUGUACUCGUUGUUUUUGUUUGAGCAAUGGAGGGACGCAGGAGGCUAAGGAAUGCAGACGAUUGGAAAUGUCUGUCUAAGCAGUA